Lotus japonicus is the source of this 97-nucleotide small nucleolar RNA. Lineage: Eukaryota; Viridiplantae; Streptophyta; Magnoliopsida; Fabales; Fabaceae. The record is from RefSeq and is a predicted model, not a curated record.
UUGGAAGCUAUGAUGGUAACAACUACCUAUUUUAUGAGGUAAGAGCGUUUAUUCGCUCAUGAUUAAGAAAUUUCCAAUGGAUCCUUCUGAGCUUCCU